UACGUAGGGGGCUAGCGUUGUCCGGAUUUAUUGGGCGUAAAGAGCGUGUAGGCGGCCAGAUAGGUCAGCUGUGAAAACUCGAGGCUCAACCUCGAGACGUCGGUUGAAACCAUCUGGCUAGAGUCCGGAAGAGGGGAGUGGAAUUCCCGGUGUAGCGGUGAAAUGCGCAGAUAUCGGGAAGAACACCCGUGGCGAAGGCGGCUCUCUGGGACGGUACUGACGCUGAGACGCGAAAGCGUGGGGAGCGAACAGG
Molecule: ribosomal RNA, 253 nt
Filed under: uncultured bacterium
Lineage: Bacteria
Description: partial 16S ribosomal RNA
Rfam family: Bacterial small subunit ribosomal RNA
Source: RNAcentral